RNAcentral lists this non-coding RNA (48 nucleotides) under Schistosoma curassoni. Lineage: Eukaryota; Metazoa; Platyhelminthes; Trematoda; Strigeidida; Schistosomatidae. The record is from RNAcentral.
AUUCAACUGACGAGUCCGUAAUAGGACGAAACGCGCAUCAACUUGUAU